This 207-nucleotide ribosomal RNA is filed under the name uncultured bacterium. Its description in RNAcentral is "partial 16S ribosomal RNA". It matches the Rfam family "Bacterial small subunit ribosomal RNA", at positions 568 to 774 of the family's 1533-position model. The record is from RNAcentral.
CACGCAGGCGGUCUGUCAAGUCGGAUGUGAAAUCCCCGGGCUCAACCUGGGAACUGCAUUCGAAACUGGCAGGCUAGAGUCUUGUAGAGGGGGUAGGAAUUCCAGGUGUAGCGGUGAAAUGCGUAGAGAUCUGGAGGAAUACCGGUGGCGAAGGCGGCCCCCUGGACAAAGACUGACGCUCAGGUGCGAAAGCGUGGGGAGCAAACA